RNAcentral lists this ribosomal RNA (315 nucleotides) under Limnohabitans sp. Its description in RNAcentral is "bacterial SSU rRNA". It matches the Rfam family "Bacterial small subunit ribosomal RNA", at positions 1 to 313 of the family's 1533-position model. Lineage: Bacteria; Pseudomonadati; Pseudomonadota; Betaproteobacteria; Burkholderiales; Comamonadaceae. The record is from RNAcentral.
AGAUCGAACUGUAGAGUUUGAUCCUGGCUCAGAUUGAACGCUGGCGGAAUGCUUUACACAUGCAAGUCGAACGGCAGCACGGGGGCAACCCUGGUGGCGAGUGGCGAACGGGUGAGUAAUACAUCGGAACGUGCCCAGUCGUGGGGGAUAACGUAGCGAAAGUUACGCUAAUACCGCAUACGAUCUACGGAUGAAAGCGGGGGACCGUAAGGCCUCGCGCGAUUGGAGCGGCCGAUGUCAGAUUAGGUAGUUGGUGAGGUAAAGGCUCACCAAGCCGACGAUCUGUAGCUGGUCUGAGAGGACGACCAGCCACAC